RNAcentral lists this ribosomal RNA (253 nucleotides) under uncultured bacterium. RNAcentral describes it as "partial 16S ribosomal RNA". It matches the Rfam family "Bacterial small subunit ribosomal RNA", at positions 524 to 776 of the family's 1533-position model. The record is from RNAcentral.
UACAGAGGUCCCGAGCGUUGUUCGGAUUCAUUGGGCGUAAAGGGUGCGUAGGCGGUGGGGUAAGUUGGAUGUGAAAUCCCCAGGCUUAACCUGGGAACUGCAUCCGAUACUGGAUGGCUUGAAUCCGGGAGAGGGAUGCAGAAUUCCAGGUGUAGCGGUGAAAUGCGUAGAUAUCUGGAGGAAUACCGGUGGCGAAGGCGGCAUCCUGGACCGGCAUUGACGCUGAUGAGCGAAAGCUAGGGGAGCAAACGGG